Molecule: long non-coding RNA, 1186 nt
Organism: Larimichthys crocea (large yellow croaker)
Lineage: Eukaryota; Metazoa; Chordata; Actinopteri; Sciaenidae
Exons: 2
Source: RefSeq, a predicted model, not a curated record
UUUAAUCAGUUAGACAGUGAAAGAAAAAAAGAGGCUAGAUUAAACAGAUACAGCUAGAUUUUAGAUUUCACAGUCCAGUUACUUAGAAUAUAACAGCUUAGACUCUAUAAAGUUGUCAUAUUUGUAAAAGAAGCAAGCCAAAGGCGACUGGAGUUGUUUUAAAGAGGCCUACCUUUCUUCCACCUCUUGUCCAAGUGAUCUGAAAGGUCUCCCGUUGUCUUUAUGGGCAUAAUUCACGAUUACAGGUGCAUUUCCCAUCCUUACCACAAGGAGAUCCACCUGCAAUUCAGUGCACCUUUAAAACUCCCCACGUUUAUAUUUCCUGCAUGAUAAACACGAUCAGAGCGCACGGGGAGUAUCUAACCCAGAAUGUUCGAAGACAAAAGAGGAGGUAAAGUUCAGCCCUCUGUUUAUACUGUGGGGAGUUUUUUGAAGGUGCACUGACUUACAGGUGGAUCUCCUUGUUGCAAGGAGAGAAAAUACACCUGUAUUUGUGCAGGUACAUUCAAUUCUCAGUUCCUUUACCAUCUGUCUUUUGUUUAUUCCUGUGAGUCACUCCUCCACUUUACACACCAUUGACUCCUUACUCUUUGUCUCCCCCCCUCCUCUUAUAUGACUCUGAUGGAUGAUUGUUGUGAGAAGACGGACUCCACACCACCAUGCAUCGUAUGUGCUAGUAACCUCUCCAUGGUGGGGACCCUCUACUGUACAUAAAGUACAUGGGUUGAAGACUUUACUAUAUCCACAUUACUUAGUCAAUUGUUUUAUUGUUCUGAUGUAAUCACAUGUUUUGGUCACCCUUGACUCCAUACUCCUUGUCCCUUUCCACUCCUCUAUCUCUGAUGGAUGAUUGUUGUGAGAAGACAGACUCCACACCACCAUGCAUCGUAUGUGCUAGUAACCUCUCCAUGGUGGGGACCCUCUACUGUACAUAAAGUACAUGGGUUGAAGACUUCACUAUAUCCACAUUAUUUAGUCACUUGUUCUGAUGUAAUCACAUGCUCUAGUCACCCUUGAUUCCUUUCUCUAUCUCCUCCACUUAUAUAACUCUGAUGGAUGAUUGUUGUGAGAAGACGGACUCCACACCACCAUGCAUCGUAUGUGCUAGUAACCUCUCCAUGGUGGGGACCCUCUACUGUACAUAAAGUACAUGGGUUGAAGACUUUACUAUAUCCACAUUAUUUAG